GACGAACGCUGGCGGCGUGCUUAACACAUGCAAGUCGAACGGAAAGGCCCUGCUUUUGUGGGGUGCUCGAGUGGCGAACGGGUGAGUAACACGUGAGUAACCUGCCCUGGACUUUGGGAUAACUUCAGGAAACUGGGGCUAAUACCGGAUAGGAGCUCCUGCUGCAUGGUGGGGGUUGGAAAGUUUCGGCGGUUGGGGAUGGACUCGCGGCUUAUCAGCUUGUUGGUGGGGUAGUGGCUUACCAAGGCUUUGACGGGUAGCCGGCCUGAGAGGGUGACCGGCCACAUUGGGACUGAGAUACGGCCCAGACUCCUCCGGGAGGCAGCAGUGGGGAAUAUUGCACAAUGGGCGGAAGCCUGAUGCAGCAACGCCGCGUGCGGGAUGACGGCCUUCGGGUUGUAAACCGCUUUCGCCUGUGACGAAGCGUGAGUGACGGUAAUGGGUAAAGAAGCACCGGCUAACUACGUG
This 468-nucleotide ribosomal RNA is filed under the name uncultured bacterium. Its description in RNAcentral is "partial 16S ribosomal RNA". It matches the Rfam family "Bacterial small subunit ribosomal RNA", at positions 28 to 507 of the family's 1533-position model. The record is from RNAcentral.